RNAcentral lists this ribosomal RNA (253 nucleotides) under uncultured bacterium. RNAcentral describes it as "partial 16S ribosomal RNA". It matches the Rfam family "Bacterial small subunit ribosomal RNA", at positions 524 to 776 of the family's 1533-position model. The record is from RNAcentral.
UACGAGAGGCGCAAACGUUAUUCGGAUUUACUGGGCUUAAAGAGUUCGUAGGCGGCGCAGAAAGUAGGGUGUGAAAGCCCUCGGCUCAACCGAGGAAUUGCGCUCUAAACUACUGUGCUCGAGGGACCUAGAGGUGAGCGGAACUGAUGGUGGAGCGGUGAAAUGCGUUGAUAUCGACAGGAACGCCGGUGGCGAAAGCGGACCGCUGGCCCUCUUCUGACGCUGAGGCGCGAAAGCCAGGGGAGCGAACGGG